GAUGAACGCUAGCGGGAGGCCUAACACAUGCAAGUCGAACGGGAUUGGGAGCUUGCUCCCAUGAGAGUGGCGCACGGGUGAGUAACGCGUAUGCAACCUGCCUUUAACUGAGGGAUAGCCCAUAGAAAUGUGGAUUAAUACCUCAUAGUUCUUUUGGUCCGCAUGGAUUGAAAGAUAAAGCUCCGGCGGUUAAAGAUGGGCAUGCGUGACAUUAGCUGGUUGGUGAGGUAACGGCUCACCAAGGCUACGAUGUCUAGGGGUUCUGAGAGGAUGAUCCCCCACACUGGUACUGAGACACGGACCAGACUCCUACGGGUGGCAG
Molecule: ribosomal RNA, 322 nt
Filed under: uncultured Bacteroidota bacterium
Lineage: Bacteria; Pseudomonadati; Bacteroidota
Description: bacterial SSU rRNA
Rfam family: Bacterial small subunit ribosomal RNA
Source: RNAcentral